GCAGGGAAUCUUGCGCAAUGGGCGAAAGCCUGACGCAGCGACACCGCGUGGGGGAAGAAGGCCUUCGGGUCGUAAACUCCUUUUCUGGGGGAAGAGUAAGGACGGUACCCCAGGAAUAAGCCUCGGCUAACUACGUGCCAGCAGCCGCGGUAAUACGUAGGAGGCGAGCGUUGUCCGGAUUUACUGGGCGUAAAGGGCGUGUAGGCGGUUCGGGAAGUCUUUGGUGAAAUCUCCCGGCUCAACUGGGAGGGGUCCAGAGAUACUCCCGAGCUAGAGGGCAGUAGAGGAGAGUGGAAUUCCCGGUGUAGUGGUGAAAUGCGUAGAUAUCGGGAGGAACACCAGUGGCGAAAGCGGCUCUCUGGGCUGUACCUGACGCUGAGGCGCGAAAGCGUGGGGAGCAAACCGG
This 406-nucleotide ribosomal RNA is filed under the name uncultured bacterium. RNAcentral describes it as "bacterial SSU rRNA". It matches the Rfam family "Bacterial small subunit ribosomal RNA", at positions 354 to 776 of the family's 1533-position model. The record is from RNAcentral.